RNAcentral lists this long non-coding RNA (221 nucleotides) under Elaeis guineensis (African oil palm). RNAcentral describes it as "long non-coding RNA (EGUI_LNC006567)". The record is from RNAcentral. Lineage: Eukaryota; Viridiplantae; Streptophyta; Magnoliopsida; Arecales; Arecaceae.
UUAAUAUUUACUGUCAAUUUAUCUCCAAUUUAUUCCUUAAUAGGUAUACAUCAAAUGAUUUGAAGACCCAUCACUUUGUUCAACAGAAGACUUUAGUGGGUCGCGCAAUAUAUGGAAGAAUUUUUAGGACAGAAAUUUUGUUCUUAUUGAUGCACAAAUGAAUUAUAUAUGGCAUCCAAUGCUUUUUCAACGAAUUGAUCAGGUACAAUUCCGUGUCCCCU